GCUUAAUUUGCAACUAUAGGUACUGGUAAUGCUCCAAAUGGAACAUUAUUAGUUAAGGGGAAGCCGGUUUGAAUCCGGCACGGUCCCGCCACUGUAAUUCAGUCUUGUAUAAGUCUGAAGAGUCAGGAUACCUGCCUAUGGUGCCGAUACAAC
This 153-nucleotide non-coding RNA is filed under the name Paenibacillus sp. Lineage: Bacteria; Bacillati; Bacillota; Bacilli; Caryophanales; Paenibacillaceae. The record is from RNAcentral.